Molecule: transfer-messenger RNA, 372 nt
Filed under: Candidatus Nanopelagicaceae
Lineage: Bacteria; Bacillati; Actinomycetota; Actinomycetes; Candidatus Nanopelagicales
Also listed under: 1 other name
Description: Planktophila sp001438925 Standard tmRNA
Rfam family: transfer-messenger RNA
About the family: Bacterial tmRNA, also known as 10Sa RNA or SsrA, is named for its dual tRNA and mRNA-like properties. Its role is to liberate the mRNA from a stalled ribosome. To accomplish this part of the tmRNA is used as a reading frame that ends in a translation stop signal.
Source: RNAcentral
GGGGGUGAACGGUCUCGACUUUGGAUGUUGAGGCAGGGGAAGCGGGCCGAGGAAGCCGGAAUGAUCUCGUUAACCAAUAAUCCGUGCAAAAAAAUAACUGCAGACGUUAAAUCGUCUGAUUUCGAACUCGCUGCAUAAGCGAUUCAAAUCCGUUAGCCCAGGUGCCGCUCUCGACCUGGAAUCUAGCGUCGACUAGGGGGCUUUUCACUUCGUUGGUGUUGCAGACGAUGAAGGAGAACAUUUUUGCAACUGAGCUUGUCGAGGAAAGGUGUGUAAAAACCUCGGAGCUGAGAAAGCGUUAAUCACACUACGCCCGUAGAAGCCCUGUUUUAAUACCGAAGGACCCGGGUUCGAUUCCCGGCACCUCCACCA